Molecule: long non-coding RNA, 240 nt
Filed under: Phasianus colchicus (ring-necked pheasant)
Lineage: Eukaryota; Metazoa; Chordata; Aves; Galliformes; Phasianidae
Description: lncRNA (ENSPCLG00000010660.1)
Source: RNAcentral
AUCACACUACUAAUCUGUAUUAAAUUUAACUUUCGAAUAGGUCAAAUGUAUAAUCUGGAACUGUUUAUUCCCUCUGUUGGCUGAAGAGGCAAUUCAGAUGACUGGCUCACACAUAGCCAUGCAUACUGCCACAUUUGAAAUUAGAAAGAAGUCAGUGUUUUGGGGAGCCAGGAGCUAAGACUGAGCCUAAGUUUCACUGCCUCUGAAACUUCCAAGGAGAAGAGACUUUUAUAAUCCAAG